UAGGGAAUCUUCCGCAAUGGGCGAAAGCCUGACGGAGCAAUGCCGCGUGAGUGAUGAAGGUUUUCGGAUCGUAAAGCUCUGUUGCCAGGGAAGAACGUCCGGUAGAGUAACUGCUACCGGAGUGACGGUACCUGAGAAGAAAGCCCCGGCUAACUACGUGCCAGCAGCCGCGGUAAUACGUAGGGGGCAAGCGUUGUCCGGAAUUAUUGGGCGUAAAGCGCGCGCAGGCGGCUAUUUAAGUCUGGUGUUUAAACCUUGGGCUCAACCUAAGGUCGCACUGGAAACUGGGUGGCUUGAGUACAGAAGAGGAAAGUGGAAUUCCACGUGUAGCGGUGAAAUGCGUAGAUAUGUGGAGGAACACCAGUGGCGAAGGCGACUUUCUGGGCUGUAACUGACGCUGAGGCGCGAAAGCGUGGGGAGCAAACA
This 426-nucleotide ribosomal RNA is filed under the name uncultured Paenibacillus sp. RNAcentral's name for it is "bacterial SSU rRNA". It matches the Rfam family "Bacterial small subunit ribosomal RNA", at positions 355 to 774 of the family's 1533-position model. Lineage: Bacteria; Bacillati; Bacillota; Bacilli; Caryophanales; Paenibacillaceae. The record is from RNAcentral.